This 73-nucleotide transfer RNA is filed under the name Diaphorina citri (Asian citrus psyllid). It matches the Rfam family "tRNA". From Rfam's summary of the family: Transfer RNA (tRNA) molecules are approximately 80 nucleotides in length. Their secondary structure includes four short double-helical elements and three loops (D, anti-codon, and T loops). Lineage: Eukaryota; Metazoa; Arthropoda; Insecta; Hemiptera; Psyllidae. The record is from Rfam by way of RNAcentral.
GCCUAGAUAGCUUAGUUGGUGGCGCGUCUGCCUUGUAAGCGCUAGGCCGCGGGUUCGAUUCCCGCCCGGGGCG